This is a long non-coding RNA of Passer domesticus (house sparrow), 4458 nucleotides long. RefSeq lists it as uncharacterized. The record is from RefSeq and is a predicted model, not a curated record. Lineage: Eukaryota; Metazoa; Chordata; Aves; Passeriformes; Passeridae. The transcript has 6 exons.
UCCUGGGGAAGGGGAGGCUCCAAGGAGACCUCAUUGUGGCCUUCCAGUGCCUAAAGGGCUUAUAAAAAGGAGGAACAGCAAUGCUUCACAUGGACUGAGCAUGCUAGGACAAGGGGGAGCUGUUAUAACCUAAAAAGAGAGAGAUUCAGCUUAGCUGUUAGGAAGAAAUCCUUUACCAGAGGACAGUGAUGCACUGGAAGAAUUUGCCCAGAGAAGCCCUUGUCAACAGAAAAAGUGAUCUGCUCAGUUCUGAAGAGCCUGUGAUACAGCCCCAUACAGCACACUGAGUUAGGGUACAAGGGGGGUGGCAGCAGCUUUUUAAUGUAGUGACACCAGAUCUCUGAGCACAGAGCUGAGACUGCAGCCUCUGGUGACCCAAAGAGAGACAGCCUGAGGGAGCAGCUCUGUGCAGGCAGGAAAACAACAAGGUCAGCUGUGCUCAAGAGCAAAGGCAUUGGCACCUACCUGGGCACCAGGGGUUGAAGAGUAACACAAACUGGCCCAGAUCCUGAUACCAUUUGGCCUAGAUGCAAAGGAAAAUGCAUAGUGAGAGAUCAUCUGUCUUACAUGGAUGAACAAGAGGUAUUUGAGGACAUGCUGAAGCUUUUGACAAAUCAAUCCAUCUGUCUGAGUGCAGCUCUGUUCCAAGUGGCAGCUGGACCACUGGCGUUCCUGUUCUAGUAGGCAGUAACUUCAUGUCAUAGAAGAAUUCUUGCAGUGUGCUUGGAGUUCCCUGAUACUGUGUCCUCCUGCACAUAUGCUGUUAUUAUGGUCUGUGGUUUAAAACCCAUAAAGUGGUUCCUGACACCUCAAAUCCUAAACUGCCUUGUUAGCAAACAAAUAUGAAUAUGAUAUCCCUUGCAAUGUUGUUUUCCCUUCCCUGUUUUCUUGCCAUGCUCAAACCUGAGCAGUUAUGCUGUCUUUGGGAAUGCUGAGAAGCACCUUCUGUGUUUAUAUCUCCCCUGGGAGACUCUGAAAAAUACACCUGGAGCACUGUGUUUCAAGUUUCACAAAUGCUCAGGGCAAGUACCUUGGUGAAGGCUCUUCAAAGUCAGUUUUAUCAAGCUUUGCAGGAUUUCACCACUUCCUGUCCAGCUGCUGGGAUUUUUACCACCCUCAUAUUUUCCACUCCAGUUUCCUAGCACCACCCCUUGGUCAUCAUUGGCGUUGACCUGAGAAGAUAUUCACUAAAUUUAUGAUGAGGUGAAUUUGUGCCAGAUAUUGGCAACUGAAGGAAGCUGUGGCUGGUGGCUAAAAUUGCAGUAAUACAACAAACACCUCAACAGUUCCAUGGCUGUGUGAAUGAGGACGUUGGCUCUGAGGUAUUCCCUUGCUGCUCUGUAGUGCAGAUUGGGCCAGAAGAAUGUCCUGAGGCAGGAUUACUCUCCCUGUGAAAGAAGCUGGGGGGCAUACCUGUUUCUGCAAUGAAUAUUAAGUUUUGCUCAGGCCGUUCUGUUCCAUUGAAGGUGCCAGUCUGUACUUGGCUGCGUUGCAGCUAUGAAAAAAUGAGAUGAGCAAAAAAGCUUGAGAAUACAUCCAAAGAGGAAGGAAGAGAAACACACUCUGAAGAAUUUGAAGAAUUGCUUAUUACUUUCUACAGGCUAAUCCUUCAUUUUCCAUACUAGCGCUAGCAAACUGAUCACAGAUGUCUCUUCUCUCCUCUGCCCUCCACAUACAGGAACUUCUGUUUCCUUACACUUACACAGACUAGAACAAGGUAUUUUGUGUCUUCAUUAUUACUUCAUCUCACUUAUCUACAAUGACGAGAAGAGACUGAAGCAAUCUCAGGAAUGUUAGUGCUUACCUUGAAGAACUUGAAGGGUGGAAAUUUCAUAAGAUCAGUAAGGGGCAAGCACAGCAUCUAUGUAUAAAAUGGGGCAAGAGGCAUGAAAAAGAGCUGAGAAACUUCAGCUGUAUGUAAUUACAGUUGACAUCAACUAGCUUGAUUCAAAUUCCUGGAAAACACUGAAAGAGAUGAACUUCUUAGCAUCUAGAUGAAUAACAGCCAGCUAAGGCAUGCCAAGAAGUCAGCUGUGCCCAUCAGAGGAGAAGAAAGAAGUGCCAUCUAUCACCACAUGCUGACUUGGAUUUGCAACAAAAUCCCACAGGGUAUUUUCAUAAGUACACUUUGGAAACACUGAUUACACAAGAUUUCUAUUAGUUAACUGCAUAACUUGUUGUUAAAAAAACAAAUGCUGCAUUGCUUCAGUGGAUCACCAUCAAACUGGAAGGGCAUAGUGGCUGAAGUGCCAUUAAAUGCUGCCUUGGAGCAUUGACAUUUUAAAUAUGCUCUUUUCUGUUGUUAAUGUUGUUCAGCUGAAGCGUUAUGGUAGCCCAGGGCUAAUCUCAGCUUGAUAAUGUCAAGACUACAGAGAAUGGAGAGUGUAAAAAAAAGAGAAGGAUCAAGCUGAAUCAGUGUAAAACAGAGAGAACUGCAGAGAUAUUAUGAUUUUUGAAAAGAUGAAAAGUGGUUAUAGAAAGAGGAGGCCAGCUGAGGAGUAAUGGUCUUUAAAAGUUCAGUCUUUGACUGAAGACACUGAAGUGAAACAUAAAAAUGUUGGCAGUGCAGAAAAGUGUUUAGCUAGACCCUCUGGGUAGCUUGUCAAAAUGUUAUUUUUUUUCCCCCAUGGAGAUUAAGAACAGCCUGAAAGCAUAUUUGCCAGGGCUAACACACGAGUGUGGUUGAGCUGCCCUUGGGGCAUUGAUUUUGAUGUCAAAGCUGUGACAGUGACACUUUCCUCCCCAUUGCUCAUUGAUGGCAGCUGAUGCUGAGCCCGGUGGGGCAGGGAGCACCUGAGCAGGGCAGUGAAGCAUCCUGCACCCAGGGCUGCUGCAGCCUCCUCUGCAGCCUCCUGCUCCUGCUCUGCUGCUCUGGCUGAGCUGCCCACAGUGAAUGCACUUCACGUCGUGUCCUGUGGUCAAGGGUCACCGAUUUCCCAACUACUGUGACACACAAGCCUGCAGACUGUGUGUCACAUUCAUCUCAAGAACUGCUCAGUUCAUAGCAGUGAUAAAAUAUUUUGCAUAGAAAGAGGGAGGUUAGCACUGUGCCUGUCCAGUAUUGCAUCUGCCAGUGCAAGCCAGCUCACAAGCAUCACCUGGAAGUCCCACAGCAAUGUAACAGAUAAUUCUUCACAAGAUAAUUUUCUCCAUUAUCUUGUGAAGCAAAAAUUUGUCCCACUUUCAGUCAUUUGGUCACUUGUUCCCAAAAGAGGGAAGUACAGAACUGACCUGAAAGUAGCCACGUCUUUUUUUGUCUUUGUCUUUUUUUUGUGUGUGUGCACAGAGAAAAGCCACCUCCUUUUUAGAAUCCAUUAGAGUUCAUUGGUUUUUCAUACCUUAGAGCAAUGUGUUUCACAUGCUAAUUAUGAGUUGUGUAAAUAAUGUUCUAAACAUUCCCUUUCUUCAUUUAAGAUCCACUGGUUUUUACAUUUCAGGAUUAAAAGGUACCCAAGGCUUUGCUUCACUUUAUUGUUCAGUGCUUUGUAUUUCUCUAUAAUAUCAUGUCUUAUGUUAUUAUAUUCCUCCAAACUACAUAUUAUCAGAAUUGCCAGUCUCUUUUCAUGCUGAUACCAUAGUCUGAAUGUAUGUGCAUUUCUGAAACUCAUUCAGUUUCUUCUGUAUGCUUUUGUGAUAUAAAUGAAAAAGAAUUGAAACAUCCUCCUGUAGGGAAAAUACACUAUAAGUCAAUUGGUGUCAAUGAUUUUUAGUAUUCCCUGAUCUAUUUUCUAUUAAUGCCAUUUUUGUUUGUUAGUUCAGCACUUACUCAGCUUAGCCCACAAGACAGUGUUUGUUCAUCCUGUACAAAGGAACUGUGUCAUAAGAAGAUAUAAAAUAACAAGCCUGGACAAGAUGUUUAGCUGUAUGGAUGGGUAAAAUGGAUGUAUUGAAAAUUGUGUGAAAGGAGGCUGCACAACAAGCUGAUGUGUGAAUUCCAUAAUGUUAAAGGAGAGAAUUGGAGUGUACCAAAUGAACUGGCACAGGAUUUGUAAAUAGGGUGCUCAGGGAGCUUGUAACCACAAAGAAAAUGCUUCAAUAGCUGGAAAGGCAAAGGAAACAAUUGUUUGAGAUGGAAGAAAAUAUUGUCAUUAGAGAGAAGCCAAACAAUUGUGAAAGAUUGAGGAACAGAAUUAAGGAGAUCGGGAAUUGGGAUGGAGCACAGCCAGCAGUGGAGAGGAAGAUGAAAAGUUGAUGCAUUUGAGAUAAAAGAGAAAUAGAGAAAUUAAAGAUAGAAAGUUAGGCUAUGGGGAAGAAGAAAACCAGACAUUCUGGUAUCUUAUUAAUGGAAGAAAUAUUCCCCUACAAGAGGAGAAAAUUAAAAUAAUGAAAGAGACUAAAGGUAACUUAAAGAUGGAGAAAACUGAACUAGAAUGAUGGUUUGGUAUUUAUUGGAGUGGGAGAAGAGAAAAACUGAGGAAGAGGAGAAUGAAGUCAGAGGAAAUUUCAUCAGAAGGAGGU